GCUGUUGGUUGAGCAAAUUCAAUCAGUAGCGAAGCUAACGCGUUAAGUUCUCCGCCUGGGGAGUACGACCGCAAGGUUGAAACUCAAAGGAAUUGACGGGGGCCCGCACAAGCGGUGGAGCAUGUGGUUUAAUUCGAUGCAACGCGAAGAACCUUACCAUCCCUUGACAUCCUCAGAAUUUGUCGUAAUGAUUUAGUGCCUUCGGGAACUGAGUGACAGGUGCUGCACGGCUGUCGUCAGCUCGUGUCGUGAGAUGUUGGGUUAAGUCCCGCAACGAGCGCAACCCCUAUCUUUAGUUGCCAGCACGUAAUGGUGGGAACUCUAGAGAGACUGCCGGUGAUAAGCCGGAGGAAGGUGGGGACGACGUCAAGUCAUCAUGGCCCUUACGGGAUGGGCUACACACGUGCUACAAUGGUGCAUACAGAGGGUUGCCAAGCCGCAAGGUGGAGCUAAUCCCAGAAAGUGCAUCUUGGUCCGGAUCGCAGUCUGCAACUCGACUGCGUGAAGUUGGAAUCGCUAGUAAUCGCGAAUCAGCAAUGUCGCGGUGAAUACGUUCCCGGGCCUUGUACACACCGCCCGUCACACCAUGGGAGUGGGUUGCACCAGAAGUAGCUAGACUAACCUUCGGGGGGUCGGUUACCACGGUGUGGUUCAUGACUGGGGUGAAGUCGUAACAAGGUAGCCG
This 685-nucleotide ribosomal RNA is filed under the name uncultured bacterium. Its description in RNAcentral is "bacterial SSU rRNA". It matches the Rfam family "Bacterial small subunit ribosomal RNA", at positions 819 to 1502 of the family's 1533-position model. The record is from RNAcentral.